CACGUAGGGUGCGAGCGUUGUCCGGAAUUAUUGGGCGUAAAGAGCUCGUAGGCGGUGUGUCGCGUCGGCCGUGAAAACCUGCAGCUCAACUGUGGGCUUGCGGUCGAUACGGGCAUCACUGGAGUUCGGCAGGGGAGACUGGAAUUCCUGGUGUAGCGGUGAAAUGCGCAGAUAUCAGGAGGAACACCGGUGGCGAAGGCGGGUCUCUGGGCCGAUACUGACGCUCAGGAGCGAAAGCGUGGGGAGCAAACAGG
This 254-nucleotide ribosomal RNA is filed under the name uncultured bacterium. RNAcentral describes it as "partial 16S ribosomal RNA". It matches the Rfam family "Bacterial small subunit ribosomal RNA", at positions 524 to 776 of the family's 1533-position model. The record is from RNAcentral.